This 408-nucleotide ribosomal RNA is filed under the name uncultured bacterium. RNAcentral's name for it is "partial 16S ribosomal RNA". It matches the Rfam family "Bacterial small subunit ribosomal RNA", at positions 28 to 526 of the family's 1533-position model. The record is from RNAcentral.
GACGAACGCUGGCGGCGUGCUUAACACAUGCAAGUCGAACGGAGUGGCGAACGGGUGAGUAACACGUGGGUGAUCUGCCUUGCACUUCGGGAUAAGCUUGGGAAACUGGGUCUAAUACCGGAUAGUGCAAGAUGAGCUCGCGGCCUAUCAGAUAGGUGGUGGGGUAAUGGCCUACCAAGGCGUCGACGGGUAGCCGGCCUGGGAGGGUGUACGGCCACAUUGGGAGUGAGAUACGGCCCAGAAUCCUACGGGGGGCAGCGGGGGGGAAUAUUGCACAAUGGUGGGAAGCCUGAUGCAGCGACGCCGGGUGGGGGAUGAAGGCCUUCGGGUUGUAAACUCCUUUCGACAGGGACGCGGUACCUGGAUAAGAAGCACCGGCUAACUACGUGCCAGCAGCCGCGGUAAUUC